Molecule: non-coding RNA, 30 nt
Filed under: Homo sapiens (human)
Lineage: Eukaryota; Metazoa; Chordata; Mammalia; Primates; Hominidae
Source: RNAcentral
UGAUGGGCAGGGCCCUCGAGGUUAAUGAGA